This 433-nucleotide ribosomal RNA is filed under the name uncultured bacterium. RNAcentral describes it as "partial 16S ribosomal RNA". It matches the Rfam family "Bacterial small subunit ribosomal RNA", at positions 29 to 507 of the family's 1533-position model. The record is from RNAcentral.
AGCGAACGCUGGCGGCAGGCCUAACACAUGCAAGUCGAACGAACUCUUCGGAGUUAGUGGCGGACGGGUGAGUAACACGUGGGAACGUGCCUUUUGGUUCGGAAUAACUCAUGGAAACUUGUGCUAAUACCGAAUGUGCCCUUCGGGGGAAAGAUUUAUCGCCAUUAGAGCGGCCCGCGUCUGAUUAGCUAGUUGGUGAGGUAACGGCUCACCAAGGCGACGAUCAGUAGCUGGUCUGAGAGGAUGACCAGCCACACUGGGACUGAGACACGGCCCAGACUCCUACGGGAGGCAGCAGUGGGGAAUCUUGCGCAAUGGGCGAAAGCCUGACGCAGCCAUGCCGCGUGAAUGAUGAAGGUCUUAGGAUUGUAAAAUUCUUUCACCGGGGACGAUAAUGACGGUACCCGGAGAAGAAGCCCCGGCUAACUUCGUG